Molecule: transfer RNA, 75 nt
Filed under: Candidatus Heimdallarchaeota archaeon
Lineage: Archaea; Promethearchaeati; Candidatus Heimdallarchaeota
Description: tRNA-Tyr
Rfam family: tRNA
About the family: Transfer RNA (tRNA) molecules are approximately 80 nucleotides in length.
Source: RNAcentral
CGGGCUUUAGCUCAGACUGGUCAGAGCGGCCGGCUGUAGACCGGCAGGUCCUGGGUUCAAAUCCCAGAAGCCCGA